GUAGUCCGGUACCAAAACACAGUGAAUUAUUUGCAAGUCACUGUAGUGAUCUCAGGUCGGAGGGAUACUUAUACUCAUAUCUUUUUGGAAUAACUCUUUACAGUAGAGUGCUUCAGAGUUGGUCACGUUCAGUGAAAUGUACUCCUACAGUUCACCUGGAUGCCAUACCAAUAUCUUCAUGCUCUUUAGUUAAGAGGACAACCAACCUAUAUGGCAUACAACACCUACACUUGAUAUGUCUAUCAUUCUAGUAAUAGCAUAUCAU
RNAcentral lists this long non-coding RNA (265 nucleotides) under Elaeis guineensis (African oil palm). RNAcentral describes it as "long non-coding RNA (EGUI_LNC045233)". Lineage: Eukaryota; Viridiplantae; Streptophyta; Magnoliopsida; Arecales; Arecaceae. The record is from RNAcentral.